CCUAAAAAGGUCCAGCUCCCCAUCAGGUCCUUCAUUUGUUGUUCCCGAUGGUCUCGCUCCCAUUGCAGCAACGUCGGAAGGCACGUUCAGGUGCAGUCGAGCAUACAGUACAUGUACUUUUUCAUGUAAUGUAUUACAAUACACUUGCAGGCUGUCAAGGGCCGCAGUAAGCUCAGCCACACGAGCUCGAGCUUUUGCUUCGCGGUCCCAAGCAAUCGAACGCGAGUUCACGGCCCAAUCAAUGGCUGAAUCCCGUUCUAAAAUCUCAUAUUGCAAGCGGCUGAUGUCAGCUGACAAUUCAGCUAUACGCUGGCUGUCCUGCUCCCGUGCCCUAUUUCUGUGGCGUAGUUCUGACCGGAGUUGCUCCACCCUGGCUUCCAGGUCUCCAAUUGGGUCAUUGCUACCACUACUACUUCCUUCAUGUCUGGGGGCUAGCUGAUGACGAGGCACGCCAAAAGGUCCAGUAGACUUGCGUGCUGUUUUCCUUGUACGUGCCAUGUCUCCAUAAGAGGGGAAGAUUUACUAGUAUAUUCUUAACAUGAUGCAUGCA
This 550-nucleotide long non-coding RNA is filed under the name Zea mays. RNAcentral describes it as "long non-coding RNA (ZMAY_LNC002416)". Lineage: Eukaryota; Viridiplantae; Streptophyta; Magnoliopsida; Poales; Poaceae. The record is from RNAcentral.